RNAcentral lists this ribosomal RNA (229 nucleotides) under uncultured Actinomycetales bacterium. Its description in RNAcentral is "partial 16S ribosomal RNA". It matches the Rfam family "Bacterial small subunit ribosomal RNA", at positions 104 to 334 of the family's 1533-position model. Lineage: Bacteria; Bacillati; Actinomycetota; Actinomycetes; Actinomycetales. The record is from RNAcentral.
GGGUGAGUAACACGUGAGUAACCUGCCCUUGACUUUGGGAUAACUUCAGGAAACUGGGGCUAAUACCGGAUAGGAGCUCCUGCUGCAUGGUGAGGGUUGGAAAGUUUCGGCGGUUGGGGAUGGACUCGCGGCUUAUCAGCUUGUUGGUGGGGUAAUGGCCUACCAAGGCGUCGACGGGUAGCCGGCCUGAGAGGGUGUACGGCCACAUUGGGACUGAGAUACGGCCCAG